AAAUCCAAGCUGUCAUGUCUGUCAAAAGUGUCAAAUUGACAAUCACAUGCGACAUCUGCUGUUAAAUUCGUAAAUGACCGCGUAUUAGACAUUAGAGGGGUGUAGUCAAAAUUAAUACGAAAAACUGAAAAUUGGAGAGGUUGAUAGACUGAAGAAACAUGAAACUUGUGAUAUCUGAAAGAAUGAACAUAUAAGAGGAAUAAGACAAUUCUGAAGAAGUGUACUAGGAAGAAUAAGUGUGGUUUUAGGGUUCGUUUCUCAAAUAGCCCUACUGUGUUUUCAUACUGGAAGUAGAAAAUAUCAAACGUUUGCCAAAUUAUUUGAGAAAUGAAAAAAAUAGACACAUCCUUGGAGUUAGAACCGUGAGAGAGAGGAGGUGUGAAGCUUGUCAUCCAGAAAACUUGAGAAACACGGGGCAGUCUUGCCCAAAAUUCGACCAAGCAAAGUUGUUGAAAUAGAUGUUCAACGAAGAGAGUUGAAUAGCGACACAUUAAAGAAAAUUUUGAAAACGAGGGAAUUCGUAUCAUCAGAAGAGAAUACAAAUAGCCCGACAAUUCCUCGAAAAGCUAGCGAUAGCAGUGCCAACAGCUCUAAGAUCUCGUCCAGAUUCAAUGCUUGGCCCAAAGCGUUAAGCAGACACCCCUCCAAUAGGUCGAACGCGUCGAGUCAGAGCGGGCACAAGAGGAACCUCUCCAACCAAUCGACAAGGUCAUGCGAGCUGGGGGAGGAGGCAGUACCCUCGGACAGGCCUCUGGGCGGUCCCUCCUCCCCUCUUAUCGCCAUUCCCUCGAUGACCCUGUACAAAUCCACAUCAAAAGCAGAGGAUUCUAACUCGAAACAUUCGCAGAAGCAUGCCACUAGUAUAGAUCUAGAGAAGAUAGACAAUAUAGAAUUCAUAGAUACCACACCUUCCGAAAGCCUGACUAGUCACAUAAACAAUGUGGGUUAUCACACCGUCGAGAAGACGACAAAGGACAAUAAGAAAACUUCCUCGAGAUCCAGGUCUGUAGAGGAUGAGGUGUUCGUGGGGGCCUCUGUGAGGAACAAGCCCCAACCCACCAAAGUGUCUAAGACGAAAAUCGGAAACGCCAAGAAGAAAUCGAAGAAAGAGAAGCCCAACGAGGUGCCAAAGGUCAAUAUCGAGGUGUUGAUCGAGAGGCCCCAGAGGGAGGUCAGGACGACCGAGGAGAACCCCAAGGACGCAUCCAUGGUGGUCAGGACCUCGACGGUGGAGACUGAGCAUCGUAAGACGGUCACGACGACUACAAGUUUGAACCGUUACACUUUCACGAAGAUCAAAGAGGAACAGCCCAAGUUGCAGAAGGAGAUAAGGACGCACAGCUGUUCGUCCAUACCGUACGAUAACAUAAUCGAGAAUCUGGCCCCCUUCCGGAAGAGGUUCUGCAACAUACAGAUAUUCGACGAUGAGAACGCGGACGACGAGCUGAACUUCAACGUGGAGUCGAAGGAUGAUUCGAAAAUCGCGUCGAGGGAGGAAGUCGAGCCAGUGGUGAAGGAAGUGCUGAAGGACGUGUUCGAGAUGGCCGUGCAGAUAAUAACGAAGAACCGGCUGCAGCUGCCGCAGGACAAGAUGCAGCUGGCCUCGGCGGUGGCCUCCACGGCCGCCCUACCCGUAGAAUACAAGAGCCGGAUCAGGUGCAACACCGGCGACAUACUGUCGCCCCUGUCCAAGAUGCUGUCGGCCGUCGAUCAUCAGGUGCUGGACGCCAAGAGCUUCGUCGAGGAGUACGAGGAGUUCCACGACUGCUGCUCCGAGAUGACCGACCCGAAGAUCGGCGGUUACGCCGCCAACGACGACGCGGCGUCACAGGACAAGGAGCGCGGCAGGAGCAGGAAGAAAAAGGAUAAGUCUGUGAAGCACGGCGGCGUGACCUGCAUGAUACCGGUCGAGACGGAUUCGAACGCCGAGGACGAGGUGGAGACGAUGCAGAGCGAUCAGCGACUGAGGGAGAUCGGGCCGAUGUACAACAUACCGAAGAACUACUUCAUGAACCCGGAACUGACCGAGAUCACGGAACAGACCAUAGACGAGCUGCACAGGAACGACGAGAACGCCGAGAACAGCGAGAACAUCGUCGAGCAGACGGUCGUGGUCAAUCUGAGCCUGAGCAAGGAGGGCAAGGUGGAGGACGAGGACGACGUCUACAAGCCGAUCGCCGUCAGUCCGGACGGCAGGUUCUUCAAGUACGAGGAGGAGAUCGGCCGGGGGGCCUUCAAGACCGUCUACCGCGGCCUGGACACCCAGACCGGCGUGGCGGUGGCCUGGUGCGAGCUGCAGGAGAAGAAGCUGAACAAGGCCGAAAGACAGAGGUUCCGCGAGGAGGCCGAGAUGCUGAAGAAGCUCCAGCACCCGAACAUCGUGCGUUUCUACAACUACUGGGAGUACACGGGCACCAAGAAGAAGAACAUCGUGCUGGUCACGGAGCUGAUGCUCAGCGGAACCCUCAAAACCUACCUGAGGCGGUUCAAGAAGAUCAACCCCAAGGUGCUGAAAUCGUGGUGCCGACAGAUACUCAAGGGUCUGGCGUUCCUGCAUUCAAGGGCGCCGCCGAUCAUCCAUCGGGACCUCAAGUGCGACAACGUCUUCAUCACCGGCACCACGGGGUCGGUGAAGAUAGGGGACCUGGGGCUGGCCACGCUGAAGAACAGGAGUUUCGCCAAGUCGGUCAUAGGCACGCCGGAGUUUAUGGCGCCCGAGAUGUACGAGGAGCACUACGACGAGGGCGUGGACGUGUACGCCUUCGGCAUGUGCAUGCUGGAGAUGGCGACCAGCGAGUACCCGUACUCUGAGUGCACGGGGCCGGCCCAGAUCUACAAGAAGGUGAUAUCGGGCGUCAAACCGGCCAGUUUCGACAAGGUGCAGUCUCCUGACAUCAAGGACGUGAUCGAGAACUGCAUCAGACCGAGGAAGGAGGACCGACCCAAGGUGAAGGACCUCCUCAUGCACGCCUUCUUCGAGGAAGACGUCGGUCUUAAGGUGGAGGUCGUUUCCCAGGACGGCAACAAGGUCGUGUUCAGACUGAGGGUCAUCGAUCCCAAGAAGAGGACCCACAAGCAUAAAGAGAACGAAGCCAUACAGUUCGAUUUCGAUCUGGAGGGCGACCGACCCAACACCAUCUCGGAAGAAAUGGCAAAGUCGGGCAUCAUCUUCGAGGAUGACGCCAAAACUGUGGCCCAGCUUCUGAAGGCGCAGAUCACGCAGAUCACGAAGGAGAGGGUGGCGCAGAGGUCCAAGGAACAGGAGGCGUUGGCCCAACAGAUGCAGUAUCAGCAGUACCUGCAGCAACACGUGGAACAGCAGAUCUCUCAACAGCAACAACAGCAGCAACAGCAACCGUCGAACGUGCCCCAACAACAGACGGCGCCCCAGGCCCAACCGUCGCAACAACAGGUCUACCAGUCUCAACCGAGUUAUCAGCAGAACAGCACGGAGAAUCAGCAGCAGCAGCAGCAACAGCUGCCGCCUCAGCAUUACAGCCAGCAGGGACAACCGCAGCAGAACCAGCAGGCUCAGAUCAUCCAGGAGCCCAAUCAGAUGUCCCAGCCUCAAUACCAACAGCCUCAGAACAUCAUACAGCAGGAACAAUCUCAACAGUUCGUACAGCAAUCUCAGCAGCCCCAGCAGGAUCCGGGUAUGAUCCAGCAGCAUCACAUCACCACGCAAUACCAGCAGCAAUCGCAGCAGGUCCAGCAGCAAGAGGCGCAGGUUUACCAACAGACCCAGCAGCAGCAGCAACAGGCGCCCCAGCCGAUGCAACAACAACCGCCGCUUCAGAUGCAGCAACAGCCGCACCAGGUCCAACAGCAGCCGCCCCCGCAGCAACAUCCGGAGGUGCAGCAUAACCUUCAGAGGCAGCAGUCGGUCGAUCCGGUGCAGCAGGUCUCGAUCCACACCCAGCAGAGCCAGCAGCAGCAGUUCAUGCAGCAGAAUUACAUACUGGAGAAUCAGCAGGAUUACCUCAACGUCAUGGUGGAUAACCAGCACAAGCUGAGCAGCAUAUCGCAGCCGGAACUGUUGCACGCCGCCACGCCGCAGGUGGAGCACAGACUGAGCGUCGACAGUCAGAUGGACAAGAUGAACAACCAGGCGCAGAUAGACCCCCAACAGCAGCAGCAACAGAUGGUGCAUCAGGUCGAAGCAGGUUACAUUAUUUACCCGCAACCCCAGCAACAGGGGAACUUCCAACAAGCCCAGCCGCAGACGUAUCAGCAGGGACAGUACGCGGAACAGACCCCCUCGUCCGGACACGCCAACUAUCCCCCUCAGCAGCAGUCGCAGCAGCAGGUGAACUACCAGUCUCAACCCCAGCAGGGCUACAUCCCCCAACAAACCGUAAGCUAUCAACAACAGGGACAUUACGUGGACCAGAACGCUUAUCAAACCCCUCAGACACAGUAUACUCAGCAGGGCGCACCGCAACAGCAGCAACAGGCGCAGUUCUCGCAGCAGGGAACCCCGCAGACUCAGCAACCUCAGUUCAGCCAGCCGUCGAACGCUCAGCCUCAGUAUACUCAGCAAGGGGCGCAACAGACGCAGUACGCGCAACAGCCGGCGCAACAGUCCCAACCCGCUCAGUACCAACAGCCGCAGACGACGACUCAGCAACAGCAGUACUCGCAACCCAACCCGCAGACCCAACAGGGACAAUACACGCAGCAGGGGACAGCGCAGCAGGUGCAGUAUACGCAACAGGCUCAAUACACGCCUCAGGGUACCCCGCAGACGCAGUACGCCCAACAGCCGGCCCCGCAGACCCAACCGACAACGUACGCCCAGCAGGGGGCGUCCCAACAGUCGCAAUACCCGCAACAGACAACGCAGCAACAGCCUCACAUGUACCAGGGACAGCAGACGCCGUCCGGUUACAACCCGCAACAGACCCAGCAGUAUCAGCAGUACAUCUCUCAGACCUCGGUGGAACACCAGGUGUACCAACCUCAAGGGGAACCCAUUCAGCAGAUGUACCAACAGCAGCAGCCGCCUCAGCAAACCCAGCAACAGAUACCUCCGGUACAACAACAACUACCGCCCGUUCAACAGCAACAGCAGAUGCAGCCCUCGCAGUCCCAACAGCAGAUGCAGCAAAACGCCCAACAGCAGGGUUUACCUCAACAGUACAUCCAGCAACAGGUGGAUCAUCAGCAGGCGCAGAUGGUCGCGCAGUAUCCGGGACAGAUGCAGCAGCAACAACAGCAGCAGAACCAGAUGGUUCAGCAGAAUCAGAUUGCGUCUCAGCCUUUGCAGCAAACGGCGCAGCCUCCGGAACAGCCGAGCGAACAGGCCGCCCAACAGCAGUCGCUGGCCAAUCACAGGAUGUCCUCCACCGAGGCCCCGCCCAUGAACCUCGCCGAGCUGCAGCAGAAACUGGCCCAGCAGAACGCGCCCGUCGUCGUCAAGGAGUCCCAACAGAGGGCGUCGCUACCCGCUAUGACUUCCUUCGACGGCCAUCCCAACGAUCAGAGGAGGCUGUCGUCGACCUCGCAACCCUCUGCGUCCCAGGAUUUUCAACCCUCCUACAAUCAGAUACAAGAGGACAUCUCCAAUCAGUCGUUGGACAACCUCAAGGCUCAACAGUUGGAGACGAGGAAAGACACCCAGUCCGAUCCGGUCCUGUACGAGGAGCAGCAACUGGCUGGCACCGAAGGCCAACGAGAAGAGACCAGCCUGCAGAAUCUCAUGAAACAGCCGUUCUCCGAUCAGGCCGCCAAGACGGCCGACAACAGCACGCUGGCCGGACUGAAAUCGUCGCUGACGGAGAAGAUGUCCAACUGCGCCGCGCGCCAGAGGGAGAGCCUGAACAGCAGCGGCACCGUGUCGCGCAAGACGAGCACCGCCAGCGAGUACACGCCCGAGCACACCUACGUCACCGACAGACCGCCCGCCACCAGGAGGGACGCCCCCAGCGUCUCCACCACCGACGGCGCGGCCGCAGUCCCCGAGAAGCGCGAAGACGAAGACGACGAGUUGAAGGCCGAACUGAACGACAGCCUGAAGAAGGGCGAGGUCAAGUUGGUGCCGGGGCAGAAGGUGGACGUGAAGAUGUUCAUCCUGAAGCCGGACGAGAACGAAGACGGCGACGAGGCCAAGCCGUCCGAAUCCAAGACCCCGGAGGCGGCGUUGAAGGUGCCCCAGAGGAAGAUCUCCAGGUUCCUGGUGAGCCCGGUGCUCUCCGGUCAGCUGGACGUGCCCAAAGACAAGGAGAUCGGCGCUGAGCCGGUCCAGGAGCCGCCGAAGGUCGUCAGCGAGGUGGUGGCGGCCCCUCAGGUCGCUCCGGAACCUUCGGAGGCCGCCAGGAAGAAUUCAGGGCAACUGGAGGCCGCCGGUAAGACGGAACCAGAGAAGACGGUCGAGCAGAAACCCAGCGCGGCGUCGGUGAAAGAGGAGCAGCCGGUCAAGGAGGAACAGUCGGCGCCCGUCUGCGGACCGGAGAUGAUAAACACGCUGGAACAGCUCAAGAUCAGCCUGGACAAUCUGAAACACAGCGGGCACCCGGCGCACAAGAAGGACUCGGCGGAGAGCGAGGCCAAGAAGGAGGUGGCGGCGGCCGCUGCGGCUCAGAAGCCUCAGCAGGCUCAGCCGCCCGCCCAGAUCGUGGUGCCGCCCCAGAAUCAGCAGAUGUUGGGUCAGACGCAACAGCCCGUCCUGAACGCCGCCCAGCCGGUGGCGGCGCAGUCGCAGCAGCCGGUUCAGGCUCCACAGCAACAGGUGGUCAGUCAGCCGCAACCGGCGCCCGUGCAGGCGCAGCCCGCCCAGCUCCCGCCGCAACCUCAGCCGGUGCUUCAACCUCAACACCAACAGCAGAUGCCCCCGAUAGUGCAGCAGUAUCAGCAGAUAACGCACAGUCAGCCGGUCACGCCGCCCAUCUGUCAGCCCAACAGUAUUCCGAUGUCCUCUCAGCCGCAGCAUAUCAUAGGACCUCCCACCUUCGCCCCUCAGGCCGCGCCUCCUCCACUGUCUCAGCAGCAGGUCCAACCGCAGAACGUGCUCACGCAGCCGCAUCCGCAGAUAUCCCAGGUAACGAUGACCGUGGCCGCGCACGCCGUACCCCAACCCAUACCGAUCAACCUGUCCCAAGUACCCACCUCGGCGCCCAUCAACCUUCCGCCCCAACAGUACGUCCCCGCGCCCCAGGUACCCCAACCCCACCUGCCCCAACCCGUACCCAUCCCCUCGUCCCUACCGCCCGCGCCACACGUCCACCACGUCGCCCAACCGAUGAUGCUGAACGUGGUCGCGGCGGCGGCGGCCGCAGCGACCGCGGGCGUCGACCUGGUCACGCCGCCCGCCUACGUGCCGCCGCUCGACGUCACCUCGCCGCCCAUCGCGGUGCCCAACAUCGCCGUGAUGGCCCAGCCCGUCGCUGCCGCCCAGCAGCUGUUCCAGAACGCCGUGCCCGCCGAGGAACCGCCCGUCAAAAAGGUGCCGGACAACAUCAAGCAGGUCUUGGAGAGCAACUCGACCAAGGGCAGCCAGGCUUCCACGCCCACCGCGGACGUCAAAUACGACGCCCACCUGCAGAGUCUUCAGCAAAAACUGUCUUCCUCCUUGCCGAUAAGCCGCGCAGCGCAGUUGGGCGUCGAGAUAGCCGGUUCCCCGCACAGCGGGGCGGCGACCGCAGAGGUGCUGUCGCCGGUCGCCGAACUGGAACACAGCCCUUUCGCUUCGCUGUCGGACGCGGCCAAGGUCGCCCAGUUGAGCGAGUUCAGCAGUCAGCUGUCCAGGAUCAACUCGAGGGCGGAGGGUGUGGGCGCCGCGACGCCCGAACCUAAGGUCGCGCAAGAUCAGACGCCCGUCUGUCAGCUAUCGCCGCCGCAGGAGUCUGAGGUCGCUGCCGGUAGAAAGGAGAGGAAAAUUUCGAGAUUUAAAGUUAGUGUUGUUACUGAGCCAGAUCCAAAUAAGUUAGUUUUACCGCCUAAGGAGAAAAAGCCUGAGGUGUCAGAGUCCGCAGUAGUUGUUGCCCCUCCUCAAGUUUAUUCGGGAGGUAACGGUCUCGCGCCCAAAGAGGACAAGGCCGACGUUAAGACUAUAAUCAACGAUACUUUCAAUAGUUUAGCGAAUGUUUUAGCUGGAAGUCUGCCUCCGAACCAAGAGUUCCCAUCCGAAGUUUCAAGAGUCAGAAAGCAUGGCGUCGACGUCGAUACGUCCCCUAUCGGCACCGCCCUCCGUUCUAACCUCAUCACUUGUGGAAAGACCUCUACUAACCCUCCGCCGCCCCUACACCACCUGACCGCGCGCACCCUCCGCAAAUCCGUCUCGUACGACGACCUCAAGAAGGGCAUCGAGUCGAUAAUGCCGAUCAGGAAGGGGGCGGAGCCUCGGGACCCGCCCCCCAAACCCAGGACGAGCCUCGACGACCGCAGGGACUACCCCCAGAUCGUCAUACACCCCCCGGAGGGCGACGUGUACAGCAGCAGCAUGCCCGACAUCCACGCCACCUCCACCGAGUACAUGCGCCCCAUGUUGCGCGACGCCGAGAGGCUAAACGCCAGCUGUCCGGACCUCUCGGACGACGAGGAUAAGAGCUUCGAGUCGUGCAGGAACUACUCGGAGACGGAGGAUCUGUUCGAGAUGUCCGAGGACGAGGCGUUCUCAUCCCCGCCCAGAGACCGCGCCCACUUCCUGGAGUUCGAGAACGCCAGGAAGUUCCCCGGGGACUCUAGGUUGCGUAGGAACGAGGAUAGGUACGGCGGGCAUCCGAAACUGGCGACCAGGCAGUCGUUCCACGGUAUGCCGUCGGUUAAGACGCAUGGUCACGGUUAUUCCUCCGCCAGAUCCGUGGAUUUAUCCAGGGAUUUCUCGGAGUACGACUGGGGGUCCAGGGAUAGGAGUUACUACUCCUGCGAGACCGCCAAUUGCUUCCUGGAGGAAGCCAGGCGCGUGGAGGAGACCCCUAGCGAGUUGCUGAAGCGACAUCUGUGGUUCAAACAUUCGAACUCGAUGCACAACCUGGUCAGGAGGCAAGACCACGCCUUCUCCCCGCCCACGGACGACGCCUUCUGUCCCUAUCACACGAUACACGGCGUCCAGUAUCCCAGCUCGCACAGGAUCAACAGGGGAGAUAGACGGUCGUUGUUCGACGCCUCCCAACAGCACGACGCGGCUUUCGGUCACCACGCCCAUCAUCACCAAACUCCUCCCCCUCCUCCACCUCACCAUCACCAUCACCACCGCGGUAGGUUUCACCAGACCGAGGUCAGAAACGUGUACAAAUGUUGCUGCGGUAGGCCUUGGUGCCUGGCAGUGGUGCCUAUCGAGCAAUAUUUGGAGAGUUACUUUGUCAAGACGGAGGAAACUUUCGAGGAGAUGUUGAACAGGCAAAAGGCCGAGUUGAACGCCCUGAUGGAGGCUCACCGUAAACAGCAAUUAGAAUACAUGGGUAAGCUCCAGUUUGAAAAAAAUGUCAGCUCUCCGAAAGUUGAAUGUCAAACGUAGCAUUUUUUCACCCGGUGGCUGAUUCAUGUUUUCUUUUUCUUUUCAGAAUUUCAUAGGAAACAAACGGAAGAAUCGAAAAAGAAGUGAUUUUAGAGGAGAUGAAAUUGAGAAUGAAAGGCUGUAUAAAUAUUGUUUAUAUUGUAUCAUAAUUUAAAGAAAAAAGUCUAGUUAACCUAAUUAUAUUAUGAAUCUGA
Molecule: RNA transcript, 9648 nt
Organism: Coccinella septempunctata (seven-spotted ladybird)
Lineage: Eukaryota; Metazoa; Arthropoda; Insecta; Coleoptera; Coccinellidae
Gene name: actin cytoskeleton-regulatory complex protein pan1-like
Exons: 27
Source: RefSeq, a predicted model, not a curated record